Molecule: long non-coding RNA, 100 nt
Organism: Eptesicus fuscus (big brown bat)
Lineage: Eukaryota; Metazoa; Chordata; Mammalia; Chiroptera; Vespertilionidae
Exons: 3
Source: RefSeq, a predicted model, not a curated record
CUUCGCUGCUGGAAGUGCUGUUUGCUGAUGCUGGCAGCAAAUAACCGGCUAGCUGAAUGUUGGGGGCGGGUGUCUGAAGACCUUUAAGAUGGAAAGUGAA